RNAcentral lists this ribosomal RNA (504 nucleotides) under uncultured bacterium. RNAcentral describes it as "bacterial SSU rRNA". It matches the Rfam family "Bacterial small subunit ribosomal RNA", at positions 29 to 524 of the family's 1533-position model. The record is from RNAcentral.
AGUGAUCGCUGGCGGCGUGCUUAACACAUGCAAGUCGAGCGAAUUUCGACAGUGUAUCGUCGGAGUUAGCGGCAGACGGGUGAGUAAUACUUGGGUAAUCUACCCUUGAGAGGGAAACAACCUGCCGAAAGGCGGGCUAAUGUCCCAUAAGACCACAGGAAUGCAUAUUCCAGAGGUCAAAGCUCCGCAAGGGGCGCUUGAGGAGGAACCCGAGUCCUAUCAGGAGUUGGUGAGGUAACGGCUCACCAAGCCUAUGACGGGUAGCCGACCUGAAAGGGUGACCGGCCACACUGGCACUGAGACACGGGCCAGACUCCUACGGGAGGCAGCAGUGGGGAAUUUUGGACAAUGGGGGCAACCCUGAUCCAGCGACGCCGCGUGGAGGACGAAGGUCUUCGGAUUGUAAACUCCUUUUGGAGGGGAUGAAUGCCUACGUGAAAAACGUAGGGUGACAGUACUCUCUGAAUAAGCCACGGCUAACUACGUGCCAGCCGCCGCGGUAAU